GGAUUUGAGGGUGAUCUGGCUGAGACAUCUGUCAUCCUAUUGAUCGCCAGGGUUGUUUCGGCUGAUUUGGCUGGCUAGGCGGGUGUCCCCUUCCUCCCUCACCGCUCCAUGUGCAUCCCUCCUGAAGCUGUGGGCUUGGUCAUAGAGGAUGGCCUUCCUCGAAUAGAGAAGGACAGGUCUUCGUUCGAGGGUUUAGGAGUAGCUGCGCUCCCCGGCUAGAACCUCCAAACAAGCUCUCAAGGUCCAGAAGUAGUAGGGUUAUGAACUCAAAUUCCAUCAGACCCAG
Molecule: small nuclear RNA, 286 nt
Filed under: Erinaceus europaeus (western European hedgehog)
Lineage: Eukaryota; Metazoa; Chordata; Mammalia; Eulipotyphla; Erinaceidae
Description: 7SK RNA
Rfam family: 7SK RNA
About the family: 7SK was discovered as an abundant small nuclear RNA in the mid-70s but a possible function has only recently been suggested. Two independent studies have found that 7SK RNA binds the CDK9/cyclin T complex (known as elongation factor P-TEFb).
Source: Rfam by way of RNAcentral